This 342-nucleotide ribosomal RNA is filed under the name Salmonella enterica subsp. enterica serovar Infantis. Its description in RNAcentral is "partial 23S ribosomal RNA". It matches the Rfam family "Bacterial large subunit ribosomal RNA", at positions 2601 to 2925 of the family's 2925-position model. The record is from RNAcentral. Lineage: Bacteria; Pseudomonadati; Pseudomonadota; Gammaproteobacteria; Enterobacterales; Enterobacteriaceae.
CGAGCUGGGUUUAGAACGUCGUGAGACAGUUCGGUCCCUAUCUGCCGUGGGCGCUGGAGAACUGAGGGGGGCUGCUCCUAGUACGAGAGGACCGGAGUGGACGCAUCACUGGUGUUCGGGUUGUCAUGCCAAUGGCACUGCCCGGUAGCUAAAUGCGGAAGAGAUAAGUGCUGAAAGCAUCUAAGCACGAAACUUGCCCCGAGAUGAGUUCUCCCUGAGACUUUAAGUCUCCUGAAGGAACGUUGAAGACGACGACGUUGAUAGGCCGGGUGUGUAAGCGCAGCGAUGCGUUGAGCUAACCGGUACUAAUGAACCGUGAGGCUUAACCUUACAACGCCGAAG